Molecule: long non-coding RNA, 735 nt
Organism: Thamnophis elegans (Western terrestrial garter snake)
Lineage: Eukaryota; Metazoa; Chordata; Lepidosauria; Squamata; Natricidae
Exons: 2
Source: RefSeq, a predicted model, not a curated record
CUCAAAUUCAGGAAGAACGUGAGAUGAAUCGAGAUUUUCAAGUUCAAGUUGAAGAACAGAUCUGCGCAUGUGCGAGAUCCGAGAUGGCUGCUAGACGUUCUUCUCCGUGCUGAUUUAAACGGAAAAACGCUGGAAACCCCAAGAAAACCGAGCCAAUUUUUCUAUGAAGAGCUCCUUAGGGAUGUCCGAAGUCUGGGGGAUCCGAAGGGGCCAGACCUCUGCGGGGGCUGCCAUUCUCGGGCGCCCCCGGCUCGCUCAAACAUCAUCGGAGGUUUGUGUGUUGCCUGACGGUAGAGGAAGCGAAGCAACGCUGGGAACGGCGAUAGCGGAUUUCGGCGUCUUUGGCGUUUUUCGCUGGCAGCGACUUCCCUCGGCGCUAUUUAAAGGUUCUGGUGCCCUCGUCUUGCUAGCUGCACUCCCUGGGGGCUUUUUCUGGUUACCAUCUCCCCGGAAUGCAAGCGGACGGACGGAGGAAUUACUGGAACUGGUGAUAGCGCUCUGGGGGGGCUCUGCUCAGCCGCCAUUAUUUUGGAGAGAGAGCAGACGGAUAAGAACACUGCUGAGGCUGCCCAGGAUGUAGGAGCGGGGCAGGAGGCUCUCCCCGAGGUUGGUGCCUCCACUGAGGUAGCUGCGCAUGAUGGUGAAGCUGGAGGAGGAGGAGGAGCUGGACAUGGUGCUGGUGCCCACAUUCGUGCCCCCGGAUGACUUCUCUGCCGGCUGCCCACAUGUGCCACA